This 361-nucleotide unclassified non-coding RNA is filed under the name Hevea brasiliensis (rubber tree). The record is from RNAcentral. Lineage: Eukaryota; Viridiplantae; Streptophyta; Magnoliopsida; Malpighiales; Euphorbiaceae.
GUAAAAGUUGAAAUGCUCCAUAAAUUUUAACCCAAGUCUAGGAAUAAAAGGCUCAAACUCUUGGAAACAUGGAUCCUUCAACCAAAUUGGUUGACCCGAUAACCAAACAUCAGUAGCCACCGACCUCUACUUCUUCUCCAGCAAACUCUUCACUAGCUUUCAAAGGAAAAUCGGUAAGGCAGCUUGAAACUCAAACGUGCAACGAUGAAAAUUACCCUGCUCGACACUUGUAAGCUCAUAGGAAAUGGGAUGUGCAAUAAACACCAUAAAAGCAACUGGGACUAGGGCCAAGGUUGAAUGAACCAUGAAGAGCUCAGCAAAGGUGACCAAAUGUAUAUCAAUCUCCGACAACCAACCAACA